RNAcentral lists this ribosomal RNA (729 nucleotides) under uncultured bacterium. RNAcentral's name for it is "bacterial SSU rRNA". It matches the Rfam family "Bacterial small subunit ribosomal RNA", at positions 8 to 748 of the family's 1533-position model. The record is from RNAcentral.
AGAGUUUGAUCCUGGCUCAGGACGAACGCUGGCGGCGUGCCUAACACAUGCAAGUCGAACGGGGUCCAUGAGAGCUUGCUCUCGGAAGACCUAGUGGCGAACGGGUGAGUAACACGUGAGAAACCUGCCUUGGAGUGGGGAAUAACUCGAGGAAACUCGAGCUAAUACCGCAUACCUUCUCUUGACCGCAUGGUCAGUUGAAGAAAGAAUUUCGCUCCAAGGGGGUCUCGCGGCCUAUCAGUUUGUUGGUGGGGUAACGGCCUACCAAGACUACGACGGGUAGCUGGUUUGAGAGAACGAUCAGCCACACUGGAACUGAGACACGGUCCAGACUCCUACGGGAGGCAGCAGUGGGGAAUCUUGCGCAAUGGGCGAAAGCCUGACGCGGCAACGCCGCGUGCGGGAUGAAGGCCUUCGUGGUUGUAAACCGCUUUCAGCAGGGACGAAAAUGACGGUACCUGCAGAAGAAGCCCCGGCUAACUACGUGCCAGCAGCCGCGGUAAUACGUAGGGGGCAAGCGUUGUCCGGAAUCAUUGGGCGUAAAGAGCUCGUAGGCGGUUCAGUAAGUCAGGUGUGAAAGCUCCGAGCUCAACUCGGAGAGGCCACCUGAUACUGCUGUGACUAGAAUCCAGUAGGGGAGUGUGGAACUCCUGGUGUAGCGGUGAAAUGCGCAGAUAUCAGGAAGAACACCAGCGGCGANNNCGGCACUCUGGGCUGGAAUUGACGCUG